Molecule: ribosomal RNA, 466 nt
Filed under: uncultured bacterium
Lineage: Bacteria
Description: partial 16S ribosomal RNA
Rfam family: Bacterial small subunit ribosomal RNA
Source: RNAcentral
CCUACGGGUGGCAGCAGUGGGGAAUAUUGCGCAAUGGGCGAAAGCCUGACGCAGCGACGCCGCGUGCGGGAUGAAGGUCUUCGGAUCGUAAACCUCUGUCAGCAGGGAAGAACGGUCACUGUGCUAAUCAGCAGUGAAUUGACGGUACCUGCAAAGGAAGCACCGGCUAACUCCGUGCCAGCAGCCGCGGUAAUACGGAGGGUGCGAGCGUUAUCCGGAUUUAUUGGGUUUAAAGGGUGCGUAGGCUGUGAGGUAAGUCAGCGGUGAAAUCCCCCCGCUCAACGGGGUGAAGUGCCAUUGAUACUACCAUGCUGGAAUGAGGAUGCGGUGAGAGGAAUGUGAGGUGUAGCGGUGAAAUGCAUAGAUAUCACACAGAACACCGAUUGCGAAGGCAGCUCACGAAUCCGCGAUUGACGCUGAUGCACGAAAGCGUGGGGAUCAAACAGGAUUAGAUACCCGAGUAGUC